This 253-nucleotide ribosomal RNA is filed under the name uncultured bacterium. Its description in RNAcentral is "partial 16S ribosomal RNA". It matches the Rfam family "Bacterial small subunit ribosomal RNA", at positions 524 to 776 of the family's 1533-position model. The record is from RNAcentral.
UACGUAGGGGGCUAGCGUUGUCCGGAAUCAUUGGGCGUAAAGAGCGCGUAGGCGGCCAGAUAAGUCCGGUGUGAAAGUCAAAGGCUCAACCUUUGAAUGCCGCUGGAAACUGCCUGGCUAGAGUCCGGGAGGGGCGAGUGGAAUUCCUGGUGUAGCGGUGAAAUGCGCAGAUAUCAGGAGGAACACCAACGGCGAAGGCAGCUCGCUGGGACGGUACUGACGCUGAGACGCGAAAGCGUGGGGAGCGAACAGG